AUGAUCUAUACAAGAUCUCUUUAAAAUCUUACAAAAUCUCUCCAAAAUCUCUCCAAAAUCUUGUAGAGAUUCUUGUCUCAAAAAUGAAAGCCACAAGAUCUUUAUAAGAUUUCCUCAACAUCCUUAUAAAAGGGUCCAUACCCCCUCUUGAUCCUCAUUUUCUUGUGUAGACAACACUCUCCUCUCCCUCUCGAAAUCAUCUGCACACACACACACAUAACACCUCACUUUCCCUUAGAACACUCAUACAACACCCCAAAACCCUUCCCCUCUUCCUCUCGUUCGUCUGACCCGACCACCGGAGCAUCACCGGUAGGUCACCAGCACUCUGCAUCUCUGUCUCUCUCGUGAACCUUGCCAGCGACCAAAGCCGGAUUAUCGGUCGGGAAACCAGCGUGGAUUCCGACAAUCCCACAUCGCCUCUGACCCCCUUUUCGAUUUACAAAACGGAUCACCACCACCUCCGUCCGGUGGUGGUGCGGCGGCUACGAAACAGAAGAGAGAGAGACCGAGAAGAGAGAGAAAUCGGAGGCGAAGGAGUGACGGCGGUAGAUUUUCAGGCGACAAGGGCGACCUGUUGAAGUCUGACAGUGGCAUUUUAUUCCGACGAGUUUUUCCGGGUCAGACGCAGGUGCUUUGUUUCAGGCUCGGUCAACAGCCGUCAACAAGGUGUUCAGGUCAAACAAAGUCAAACCAGUCAACACGUCAGGUUGACUAGUCAAAGACGGUCAACGGGUCGAGUCUCGAGCUUCGGGUCAACAACAGGUUAAGCGUGGUCAACAGUCAAUGGGUCGGUUUCAGAUUCGGUUCGAUCGACAAGUCAAUAGGUAGCUCGGUAUAGUUUUGGUCAGAAUUGAGGUUCAGUUCGAUGCUCGGGUCAACUGUUAGUCAACUCGGUCCAACCCGGUCAAUUCAGUCAAUCGUCUCGACGUGAAAGAUUUGGUAAAGAAUUUAGCGUCGCGAUUAAUAUUUACAUUGUUUUUACAUAGUUUUUAUUUAUUUCGUGAAAACGAGCUCGAACCGAACGAUUAGAAUAUAGUUUACGUUUCGAUAUAUUUGACAAAUUACAUAUAUUAUGAUUGAAUAUUGUU
Molecule: long non-coding RNA, 1091 nt
Filed under: Helianthus annuus (common sunflower)
Lineage: Eukaryota; Viridiplantae; Streptophyta; Magnoliopsida; Asterales; Asteraceae
Description: hypothetical non coding rna
Source: RNAcentral